This 216-nucleotide ribosomal RNA is filed under the name Glomeromycotina sp. RNAcentral's name for it is "partial small subunit ribosomal RNA". The stretch from base 40 to 216 matches the Rfam family "Eukaryotic small subunit ribosomal RNA", at positions 686 to 864 of the family's 1831-position model. Lineage: Eukaryota; Fungi; Glomeromycota. The record is from RNAcentral.
GGGUCAGUAGGUUGGUCGUGCCACCGGUACGUACUGAUCUCACUGAUUCCUCCUUCCUGAAGAACCGUAAUGCCAUUAAUUUGGUGUUGCGGGGAAACAGGACUGUUACUUUGAAAAAAUUAGAGUGUUUAAAGCAAGCUAACGCUUGAAUACAUUAGCAUGGAAUAAUGAAAUAGGACGAUCGAUCCUAUUUUGUUGGUUUCUAGGAUUGACGUA